UUUUAAAAAAUUAUUUAAAGUUAAGAUUAUAUUUCUUUUAAUUAAAAUAAUUUAUGUUUGAUUAUAUCAAUAGAAAAAAUUUUGUUUAUUAUAGAUCAUUAGUACUGAGAAGGAAUUUUUUAAAAAAAUUAAAAGAAAAUAUAUUUUGUACCUUGUGCAUCAGGGUUUAUUAAAUAAUUAAUAAUUAUAUAUUUUUUUCGAAUUUAAAAGAGCUAAAUUUUUAUUAAUCUUAUUGUUUUAUAAAUAUUUAAAAUAUAAAUUUAGUAAUGAAAUGUUAUUCGUUUUUAAAUAUAUCUAGUUUUUUAAGAAAAAAAUUUAAUUUUAUUGAUAAUUUUAAAUUAUUUUAUUUAUAAGUUUUUUAAUUUAUCAUUAAAUAUUUUAAGGGAUAAGCUUUAAAUUAAAUUUUUAUAAUUUAGUUAAUUUUAUUAUAAUUUAUAGGGUUAAAAAUUUCUAGUAAUAAAAAUUUAUUAAAAUUUGUUAUUUUAUAUUAAUAUUUAUAUUAAAUUUAAUUUUUUUAUUAAAAUUAAAAAUUUAAUAUUUUAGUUUUUGUAAUUAUGAUAAAAUUAGUAUUAUAAUAUAUAUAUAUAUAUAUAUAUAUAUAUAGUUAGGUUAGAUAAAGGAAUUCGGCAAAUAGAUUUUUCACCUGUUUAUUAAAAACAUCUCUUUUUGAAAAUAAUUUAAAGUAGGGCCUGCCCACUGAGUAAUUGAAGGGCCGCAGUAUUUUGACUGUGCAAAGGUAGCAUAAUCAUUAGUUUUUUAAUUGAAAGCUUGUAUGAAUGGUUUGAUGAGAAAAUAGCUUUCUAUAUCUAAUUUUUUAAAAAUUUUAUUUUUAAGUUAAAAAGCUUAAAUUUUUGUGAUAGACGAGAAGACCCUAUAGAGUUUUAUUUUUAUAAAAAUUUAAAUUUUUAGUAUUUAAUAAUUUUAAUUUUUUUAAUAAUUUAAUUGGGGUGAUUGAAAAAUUAAUUAAACUUUUUUUGUAUAAUAACAUUAAUUUAUGAAUUUUUGAUCCAUAUAAAUGAUUAAAAGAAUAAAUUACCUUAGGGAUAACAGCGUUAUUUUUUUUUAGAGUUCUAAUCGAAAAAAAGGAUUGCGACCUCGAUGUUGGAUUAAAGUUAAUUUUAGGUGCAGAAGCUUAAAAAUUUGGUCUGUUCGACCAUUAAAACUUUACAUGAUCUGAGUUUAAACCGGUGUGAGCCAGGUUGGUUUCUAUCUUUAUAAUAUUAAUAAAUUUUAGUACGAAAGGACCAUAUUUAUAAUUUAAAAUUUAGUUAUUGAAUUAAUUU
RNAcentral lists this ribosomal RNA (1283 nucleotides) under Vibidia duodecimguttata (twelve-spotted ladybird beetle). RNAcentral's name for it is "16S ribosomal RNA". The stretch from base 1043 to 1201 matches the Rfam family "Archaeal large subunit ribosomal RNA", at positions 2542 to 2701 of the family's 2987-position model. The record is from RNAcentral. Lineage: Eukaryota; Metazoa; Arthropoda; Insecta; Coleoptera; Coccinellidae.